ACUUUGUGUUUCAGGUUUAGAUGGCUGCUGAGAUUUACUGAGGGGGCAAAGGAGAUAUAGUAGAUACUGCAGUGUAUUUAGGUGAUAAGAAUUUUAUACAUAGGCAUUUUUUUAAAGUAUUUGAAGACCACCAGCCGUUUUCUUGGUUUCUCUUUUCAAAUUAAUCUAGUUGAUGAACACCCAGGCAGCCUCAUUUGGAAGUUGUCACCUGUUCACAAGCUCUGAUCAGAAAGGAAUUGCUUAUCAAACAGGUCUGGAAAGAUCUAACCUUGCUUGAAGGCAGAGGUCUCUCUUCUGUGGUGCAUCACCUCCCAGAGUCAUCUGUCCAGAGCUGUAUGGUGAGAAUUUCUCUGGUCUUUCUGAAUUGGGGCAGAAGUUCAUCUGUAAGCUGAGCAUCCCGGCGUGCCAUUUUGUAGACUCGGCAUCGAGGUGUCCGGGGCCUGAAGCAGAUGGUCACACAGGGUUCCACUCAGCUGUACGUCACUCUUAUACCUAUUAUAUAGGCUUGGCCUUUUCUCAGCCUUCAGCUUUGUACGUGACCCGUUGUGGUUCGUGGGAACCAACGGGAGGGAGGGCGGCUCUAACAGAUGUUGAGGGUGAAUCUGUCACCUGCACUGUAGAGGAUGUGGCUGCUCCAGGUGACUCUUGGGUUAGGUGUGCUUGUUACUGAACAAAAUCCUUUUCAUCCUAAGCUUGAGUCUGCAACCAAAACGAUAGGAAUGGGACGGCUCUAUUUGGCUGUGCUUUCUUAAAACUGUAGUUUGAGUAAAUUAUCGACAUGGAUGAUGCUAGCCUGUACAAGCCUGGCAUCACGUUCUGCCUGAGGAAAAGGAAAAAGGAAUGUUAGAAAUGGUUGUGGGCGAGCGUGCCUGUGGAAGGAGCAUGGCUUUCCCUUUUCUUCUCGUGGGCUCUGAAAGGGCAUUGCCUCUACCAGCAUUCAGUCUACACCAGAGAUGAGGAUAUGUGUCCAUGCGCGUUGUCUGUGAGUGUGCGUGCGAGUGUUAAUGCAAACAGCUUGUAAAUACUAUAGUUGUUUAAAAUGGAAAAUAAAAGCUGAGAAGUCUUUUGAC
Molecule: long non-coding RNA, 1070 nt
Filed under: Mus musculus (house mouse)
Lineage: Eukaryota; Metazoa; Chordata; Mammalia; Rodentia; Muridae
Description: long non-coding RNA chr12:81999779-82000849
Source: RNAcentral